Molecule: ribosomal RNA, 423 nt
Filed under: uncultured Acetivibrio sp.
Lineage: Bacteria; Bacillati; Bacillota; Clostridia; Acetivibrionales; Acetivibrionaceae
Description: bacterial SSU rRNA
Rfam family: Bacterial small subunit ribosomal RNA
Source: RNAcentral
UGGGGAAUAUUGCGCAAUGGAGGAAACUCUGACGCAGUGACGCCGCGUGCAGGAAGAAGGUUUUCGGAUUGUAAACUGCUUUAGACAGGGAAGAAACAAGACAGUACCUGUAGAAUAAGCUCCGGCUAACUACGUGCCAGCAGCCGCGGUAAUACGUAGGGAGCAAGCGUUAUCCGGAUUUAUUGGGUGUAAAGGGUGCGUAGGCUGUAAGUCAAGUCAGCGGUGAAAAGUCGGGGCUAAACCUUGGGGGUGCCGUUGAAACUGAUUUACUAGAAUGUGGAUGAUGCCGGCGGAAUGUGUCAAGUAGCGGUGAAAUGCAUAGAUAUGACACAGAAGGCCGAUUGCGAAGGCAGCUGGCAAAGGCACGAUUGACGCUGAGGCACGAAAGUGCGGGGAUCGAACAGGAUUAGAUACCCUGGUAGU